CCUACAUCCAUAUAAGAGUGCAUAAGGCGUGUAAAGAGAGGAAGACUUUGCGUGUUCGUUGUUGCUCGUGGUUCAGUCUUGUUCAUAUCAAUUGCUCUCAAAUUAGUAUUGUUAGUGUCAUAUUAUACAUCAACUUACAUCAAACUCUUGGUCUCCCCUCUAUUUUAUUUUGGAUUAAUAAGAGUUGGUGAGAGUUUUUCUCUCCCUUUGUGAGAGCUAUUUCAUUUUCCUUCUUUUCAGAUCCAGCUUGUUUUCAUUCUGUUUGUCGUUUUGAGAGUCGGUGGCCUGGGCAUCAAGCUUCCACAUCAGGCUUCCAUCCCUAUCUUUUCUAUUAUGUUUUCUUAUUUUCUUUAGUUUGUUUAUUUUCUUUUCAAACCGCAAUCUCAACUUUCAAGCUCCGUUCUUUCAAUCCCAUCCUUUCCAUAUUCCCAUCAACUUUUUGCAUCUACUUCAUUUUCUCCCAUUUUCUUCCCCACAACCCUCCCUUUCUCUUAAUCAAACAUUAGAUUUUGCAUUAUUGGAUCCGAUUUGAGAUUUCAAUUUUGAGGUCUAGGUCGGCGGUGAAAUGCAAGAUCUGAUUUUUGCUUUAGGAAAGUUUACCAUUUUAGGGUUGUUUUGGACAUGUAGUGGUUUUUGUGAACCCACCUUGGCUCAGAGGCUACUUCGAACGUGGCUAGCAAGAGACAAGCAAUGGGAUGUAGAUUUAUACAAACUAGGGCAUCGGAGACUAGAAGAGUGGAUGGGCAUGAGUAGUUUGUCGAGCAUGGUUGGGAAAUGCAGUUUUGUGCAACGAAAUGGCCGCCAGAAAGCGAAACAAUAUUUGACUCGACAGAAUUAUUUCGUCUAGCAAGGAUUUUUUUUGUCUAUUCAUUUUUUUGUCUUGUUUAUGUGUGUUUACAUGAGUAGAAUGUAUUUUUCGGUCACAUGGGUACAUUUCUAUUGCAAAAUCUGUCUAUUAAUUUUUAUGUCAUGUUUAUAUACUAUUACAUGAGUUGAAUGUAUUUUUUGGUCA
Non-coding RNA from Malus domestica (apple), 1012 nucleotides. The record is from RefSeq and is a predicted model, not a curated record. Lineage: Eukaryota; Viridiplantae; Streptophyta; Magnoliopsida; Rosales; Rosaceae.